UACGUAGGAGACGAGCGUUGUCCGGAGUUACUGGGCGUAAAGGGCGCGCAGGCGGCCUCCCGCGUGAGUGGUGAAAGCUCCUGGCUUAACUGGGAGAGGUCCAUUCAGACGGGGAGGCUUGAGCGUCGGAGAGGGGCAUGGAAUUCCGGGUGGAGCGGUGAAAUGCGUAGAGAUCCGGAGGAACACCAAUGGCGAAGGCAGUGCCCUGGCCGACGGCUGACGCUCAGGCGCGAAAGCGUGGGGAGCAAACAGG
RNAcentral lists this unclassified non-coding RNA (253 nucleotides) under uncultured Ktedonobacterales bacterium. RNAcentral's name for it is "contains 16S-23S intergenic spacer region". It matches the Rfam family "Bacterial small subunit ribosomal RNA", at positions 524 to 776 of the family's 1533-position model. The record is from RNAcentral. Lineage: Bacteria; Bacillati; Chloroflexota; Ktedonobacteria; Ktedonobacterales.